CCUUCGAUAGCUCAGUUGGUAGAGCGGUGGACUGUAGUUGUAAAUAAAUUGAUAUCCAUAGGUCGCUGGUUCAAAUCCGGCUCGAAGGA
This 89-nucleotide transfer RNA is filed under the name Bombyx mori (domestic silkworm). It matches the Rfam family "tRNA". Rfam says of the family: Transfer RNA (tRNA) molecules are approximately 80 nucleotides in length. The record is from Rfam by way of RNAcentral. Lineage: Eukaryota; Metazoa; Arthropoda; Insecta; Lepidoptera; Bombycidae.